GACGAACGCUGGCGGCGUGCUUAACACAUGCAAGUCGAACGGACAGGCCCUGAUUUUGUGGGGUGCUCGAGUGGCGCACGGGUGUGUAACACGUGAGUAACAUGCCCUUGUCUUUGGGAUAACUUCAGGAAACUGGGGCUAAUACCCGAUAGGAGAUCCUGCUGCAUGGUGGUGGUUGGAAAGUUUCGGCGGUUGGGGCUGGACUCGCGGCUUAUCAGCUUGUUGGUGGGGUAGUGGCUUACCAAGGCUGUGACGGGUAGCCGGCAUGAGAGGGUGACCGGCGACAUGAGGACUGAGAUACGGCCCAGUCGCCUAUGGGAGGCAGCAGGGGGGAGUAUUGCACAAUGGGCGGAAGCCUGAUGCAGAAGCGCCGCGUGCGGGAUGACGUCCUACGGGUUGUAAACCACUUUCGCCUGUGACGAAGCGUGCGUGACGGUAAUGGGUAAAGAAGCAACGGCUAACUACGUG
This 468-nucleotide ribosomal RNA is filed under the name uncultured bacterium. RNAcentral's name for it is "partial 16S ribosomal RNA". It matches the Rfam family "Bacterial small subunit ribosomal RNA", at positions 28 to 507 of the family's 1533-position model. The record is from RNAcentral.